GACCUGUCAGGCUUACCUAGCCCGUCUGACAGUGGCCUUCGAUCUUCACAUUGGAAUGACAGGGGGCCAGAUGGGGGCUGCAGCUCAUACAGCAUUUCAUGACCCGGUUGAGGCCAGAAAUCGCUGCAGCAGUAAGAUGAAGAUGCGUCUUUUGGAAAACAGUCAAUGAUAUUAGACUACGCUGGCCACGCGGAGGGAGAGCUUAGGGAGCGAGAAGAGAGCAGAGGGAAAGAGCAGCAGAAGAAGCUAGUGGACGCACAGUUGUCUAUGUUUAACUCCAUCGACACCACAAGACAAAAGAAAGAGUCCUCCCGUUGCGGGAAAGAGGGGGCCGGGGGAGAGGUUGCAAGAAUGACCAGCAAAGUGUCAGCGACCCGGAUUUUUUGUUGGAACUGUGGGGAAACUGGACAUUGGCAAGAUGAAUGCAAAAAAGAAAAAAAGAGGGGUUAUGUGAAAUCGGACUGAAAUGAGGGAGUGGAGGCGGAGUGGACACUGGGGACGGACCGGCCUGCCACACACGCAUCAAUGGUUGUUCCAAGGAGAAUUUUGCCCGCAUGUGGCGUUGGCUAAGCCUGCUGAUUGGAGAUGGAGGGAUCUGGGGAGGUGGAUUCACACUCAGAGUCAGCUGACUGACUACAAGCCCAUGUAAGGGGAUCCGAGAACACUGUACAGUAAAAAGGGUGAUGUAUACAAGGCUCUAUUGACAUACACUGGUCUAGUUAAGAGAACUGUUGAACCAAGUCCAGUAACAGGUUUCUCACUGUUUCACACUGUGAGAAAUACAUUAUAAGUUGCUGAUUUUUAGGAUUUCACUGUAAUUAACUUGUGAGAAAUUAGCAUUGGUCACAGGGUUUUUAUUUCUAAUCAAAGGGUUGUCUGACUUACAAUGAACAUCUGCUGACAUGUAGGUGGGAGUUUUAACAUAGACUAAUCAAGAAGUAGGAACACAACUUUGAUGCCACAUACAAUUGCAUUCUUAUCAGCCCAGGAAGAAGCUUUUGAGUGUGUGCUAAAACUCUGCCAUUUGUUUUCCCUUGUCUUGGCAGUUUACUAUUGCUGUACUUGUUCUGUAUUUAAGAAGAAGAAAUGCUGAGUUCAGGCCAUGGAGUUCUCUCCAUGGCCACGUAACAUAAAGAAAUGAUUCAACACA
Micropterus salmoides (largemouth bass) is the source of this 1150-nucleotide long non-coding RNA. RefSeq lists it as uncharacterized. The transcript has 2 exons. Lineage: Eukaryota; Metazoa; Chordata; Actinopteri; Centrarchiformes; Centrarchidae. The record is from RefSeq and is a predicted model, not a curated record.